AUCCAUUCAUCUAGGCAUGAGCCAAGGCACUGAGGCUUUUGUCUUGAUAUUAAAACUAGAAACAGAGGUGAGGUGUGAGUGUACAAUGAUACAAAUGAUCAGAGGGGAGAGGGAAGCCGAAGUGGCACAUGCAAUUGUAGCGGGGAAUGGGAUGGGUACGAUCAGUCCAGCACUAAUGCACUGAAUCCUAUAAGAACUU
RNAcentral lists this long non-coding RNA (199 nucleotides) under Carica papaya (papaya). RNAcentral describes it as "long non-coding RNA (CPAP_LNC015750)". Lineage: Eukaryota; Viridiplantae; Streptophyta; Magnoliopsida; Brassicales; Caricaceae. The record is from RNAcentral.